RNAcentral lists this ribosomal RNA (253 nucleotides) under uncultured bacterium. RNAcentral describes it as "partial 16S ribosomal RNA". It matches the Rfam family "Bacterial small subunit ribosomal RNA", at positions 524 to 776 of the family's 1533-position model. The record is from RNAcentral.
UACGUAGGGGGCAAGCGUUGUCCGGAUUCAUUGGGCGUAAAGAGCGUGUAGGCGGCCAGGUAGGUCGGUUGUGAAAACUGGAGGCUCAACCUUCAGAGGUCGACCGAAACCAUCUGGCUAGAGUCCGGGAGAGGAGAGUGGAAUUCCUGGUGUAGCGGUGAAAUGCGCAGAUAUCAGGAAGAACACCCGCGGCGAAAGCGGCUCUCUGGACCGGUACUGACGCUGAGACGCGAAAGCGUGGGGAGCGAACAGG